GUGCUCGCUUCGGCAGCACACGCACUAAACUUGGAACGAUACAGGGAAGGUUAGCAUGGCCCCUGCCCAAGGAAGACAUGCAAAUUCUUGAAGCGUUCCGUAUUUUC
Molecule: small nuclear RNA, 107 nt
Organism: Hippopotamus amphibius kiboko
Lineage: Eukaryota; Metazoa; Chordata; Mammalia; Artiodactyla; Hippopotamidae
Source: RefSeq, a predicted model, not a curated record